CAGUCGCCGCGGUAAUACGUAGGGUGCGAGCGUUAAUCGGAAUUACUGGGCGUAAAGCGUGCGCAGGCGGUUGUGUAAGACAGGUGUGAAAUCCCCGGGCUUAACCUGGGAACUGCGCUUGUGACUGCACAGCCAGAGUAUGGCAGAGGGGGGUGGAAUUCCACGUGUAGCAGUGAAAUGCGUAGAGAUGUGGAGGAACACCGAUGGCGAAGGCAGCCCCCUGGGCCAAUACUGACGCUCAUGCACGAAAGCGUGGGGAGCAAACAGGAUUAGAUACCCCUGUAGUCCCUGUCUCUUAUAC
This 301-nucleotide ribosomal RNA is filed under the name uncultured bacterium. RNAcentral's name for it is "partial 16S ribosomal RNA". It matches the Rfam family "Bacterial small subunit ribosomal RNA", at positions 509 to 807 of the family's 1533-position model. The record is from RNAcentral.